AUGCCUUUGAGUACGACUACGUCAACGACGACCCCUCCUUGCCAGAGCAACCAGGGUUUCGAAGAAAAGGAAUAUCAAACGGAGUCCAAACGGAAUGAAACCUUCGGAAACGUGAUUUUCUCAUCAGAUAAGAUCCAGGAGACUUGGACCCUCCGUCAAGAAAUCCACGAGAUGCUCACGAGGGUAGGGGCGCGCCCCCUGCCUCGUGGGCCCCUCAAAGCUCCACAGACGUACUUCUUCCUCCUAUAUAUAUCCACGUACCACCAAACGAUCGGGGACGAAGCCAAAAACCUAAUUCCACUGCCGCAACUUUAUGUAUCCACGAGAUCCCAUUUUGGGGCCUGUUCCGAAGCUCCGCCGGAGGAGGCAUCGAUCACGGAGGGCUUCUACAUCAUCAUCCAAGCCCCUCCGAUGAAGUGUGAGUAG
Molecule: ribosomal RNA, 426 nt
Filed under: Triticum aestivum (bread wheat)
Lineage: Eukaryota; Viridiplantae; Streptophyta; Magnoliopsida; Poales; Poaceae
Description: partial small subunit ribosomal RNA
Source: RNAcentral